RNAcentral lists this ribosomal RNA (484 nucleotides) under uncultured bacterium. RNAcentral describes it as "partial 16S ribosomal RNA". It matches the Rfam family "Bacterial small subunit ribosomal RNA", at positions 30 to 507 of the family's 1533-position model. The record is from RNAcentral.
AUUGAACGCUGGCGGCAGGCCUAACACAUGCAAGUCGAGCGGAUGAAGGGAGCUUGCUCCUGGAUUCAGCGGCGGACGGGUGAGUAAUGCCUAGGAACCUGCCUGGCAGUGGGGGAUAACGUCCGGAAACGGGCGCUAAUACCGCAUACGUCCUGAGGGAGAAAGUGGGGGAUCUUCGGACCUCACGCUAUCAGAUGAGCCUAGGUCGGAUUAGCUAGUUGGUGGGGUAAAGGCCUACCAAGGCGACGAUCCGUAACUGGUCUGAGAGGAUGAUCAGUCACACUGGAACUGAGACACGGUCCAGACUCCUACGGGAGGCAGCAGUGGGGAAUAUUGGACAAUGGGCGAAAGCCUGAUCCAGCCAUGCCGCGUGUGUGAAGAAGGUCUUCGGAUUGUAAAGCACUUUAAGUUGGGAGGAAGGGCAGUAAGUUAAUACCUUGCUGUUUUGACGUUACCAACAGAAUAAGCACCGGCUAACUUCGUG